RNAcentral lists this non-coding RNA (26 nucleotides) under Homo sapiens (human). Lineage: Eukaryota; Metazoa; Chordata; Mammalia; Primates; Hominidae. The record is from RNAcentral.
UGAAAGGGAAACGUCUUUGAGGUGGA